CUCCUCUGAAGGCUCGGUGCUUUAAGUUGUGCGUGAGUGUGCGCACACACCAUCUUGCCCGCCACUGCGCACUGCUGGGUGCGGGUUACAGAGCAUCACUGCAGUAGCUGUUGCGCACUGGUGCCCAACGCCUUUCGCCGGCCUUUUCUCUUUGUUUCUAAGUGACUCGCCGUGCGCUGCGCAGGGGCUUACUUUCUCCGAGACGUGCCGCACCCAUGCCCUCCGAACACUGGAGUUUUUUUGGGCUGCCGCCCUUCUUCACCGAGCAGCACUCACCGGCUACGCUGGACAGGCAGUGCACGCUGUGGUCGAACCUCCUUCUCGACCACGCCAUCUACCACGCCCAGCGCACCGCCGGCGGCGAUACCAAUGCCCUUCUGCGCUUCUAUACUACCCAGAGCGACAUCUUCUACAACCCGGCCAUCGACAAGCGUCUGAGCCCAGAGGCCGCUCACACGAUGCUGCAGUCGCUCGUUGCACGCCACCCGAACCACGCCGUUAUCGUCUCAGACGGCGGCCCCAGGGACUUCUCUGUGCUCGUGUGCACGACGGAGGACGGGUUCAAGGGGAUGGAGGAGACGUUGCUGCGCUACAUUCUCGACCACGGCGAGGUGCAGACGACGGCAAUGCUCUCGAAAAAGGGCACAGUCAUGACCUUCGACGAGCUCGCUAGCGGCGCAGCCCUCGGCUACGGGCAGACUCGCCCAGCGUAUCUCGCGCGAUUUUCCUCUGCUGCCGUUCCAGUUGCUGAUGUUGGCCGCCUCUCCGAGGAGCAGGCGAUUCGCACGUAUUUGCACGCUGUGAACCAUCGCCCCGUGUCGGCGAUGCGCCCCUUCAAGGUGACUCUCUUUAACCUCGACGGGACCGCGACACAGCCCUACCAAGGCGUCAAGUUCGGUGGCGAAUGAGAGGCGAGGGGUGGCGCGGGCGUGUGCUUUGGCGUAAGGUGGCUUGCAUGCGUGCGCACCUCGCCUUCUCCCACUUGUCCUUGUUGCAUGUGUGCAUGUGUCUGUCAUGUGGCUGGUGCCGCCUGCGUGACGACGGAGCUCAGCGUGUUGUCGUGCCCGCCCGUCUGCUUGCUGGCGGACAGGUCCUUUUUGGUUGGCUUCGUUGCACGGGACAAACAAUUGUUGUGCAUGAAGAACGCCCACUGUGCAAACCAGACAGCGUCGCAAAAGAAAAUACGAAAGGACGCCCACACUGCUCAGUGCAGAUGGAGGAACGCGCAGCAUGCGAAUCGCUGGGGCGUGCUUGCAGCCGCGUUGCAUACGUGCUGUAGGUCGCGGUCUCUACGCUUUCCGUUUCUUUUACUACUCCUUCUCUGCGCUACCGGUGUCUCCUGUGGAUGGAAAACGUUGCUCGUCAUUGCUCUCUGUCAGUGUAUGCCUUGCAUCGGUGCGCACUGCCUCGAAAAUACCCGCUCUUCUCUCGCUCUUCUCUGUAUCCUCUCGACUCCCCCCUCCCCGUCCACUCCCGGCGGCCAGUGGGUUGCGAAGGAGGAGGAGUAACCCAGUCGUGGCGCGAGCUCUCGCAUCUUCUUGACUUGCUUUGUACGUGCGCUUAUCACACACUCUACUUGCGGAGAAGACUGUCAGGCAUACGUGCAUAUACAUACUCAUCUCCGUCGGGCACCUCUGCUCUCGUUCUACUCCCUUGCUAAAACGCCCAUGUGUGUGCCUGUGUGCGUGCAUGUGCUGUCACACGUCUCCUCUCCGCUUCUCCUAUCCCCACACUGUACUUCGCUCUAACCGACGUCGUCGCCACAUGAUCCGGGCCACAG
This 1780-nucleotide unclassified non-coding RNA is filed under the name Leishmania donovani. Its description in RNAcentral is "gene:LdHU3.36.0450(CDS-product:dolicholphosphate-mannose_synthase_putative)". The record is from RNAcentral. Lineage: Eukaryota; Euglenozoa; Kinetoplastea; Trypanosomatida; Trypanosomatidae.